UACGAAGGGGGCUAGCGUUGUUCGGAAUUACUGGGCGUAAAGCGCGCGUAGGCGGCUUUGCAAGCCAGAGGUGAAAUGCCUGAGCUCAACUUGGGAAUUGCCUUUGGGACUGUGAGGCUUUGAGGACUGGAGAGGUGAGUGGAAUUCCCAGUGUAGCGGUGAAAUUCGUAGAUAUUGGGAAGAACACCGGUGGCGAAGGCGGCUCACUGGCCAGUUUCUGACGCUGCAGCGCGAAAGCGUGGGGAUCAAACAGG
This 254-nucleotide ribosomal RNA is filed under the name uncultured bacterium. RNAcentral describes it as "partial 16S ribosomal RNA". It matches the Rfam family "Bacterial small subunit ribosomal RNA", at positions 524 to 776 of the family's 1533-position model. The record is from RNAcentral.